CGCGUAGGUGGUAGUGUAAGUCUGGGGUGGAAUGCCGGGGCUUAACCCUGGAAUUGCCUUGGAAACUGCAUUACUUGAGUCAGUGAGGGGAGGGUAGAAUUCCUGGUGUAGCGGUGAAAUGCGUAGAUAUCAGGAGGAAGGCCUGUGGCGAAGGUGGCCCUCUGGCGCUGGACUGACACUGAGGCGCGAAAGCGUGGGGAGCAAACAGGAUUAGAUACCCUGGUAGUCCACGCCCUAAACGGUGGGCACUAGGUGUAGGGCUCGUAAGGGUUCUGUGCCGAAGGGAAACCAUUAAGUGCCCCGCCUGGGGAGUACGGCCGCAAGGUUGAA
Molecule: ribosomal RNA, 330 nt
Filed under: uncultured bacterium
Lineage: Bacteria
Description: bacterial SSU rRNA
Rfam family: Bacterial small subunit ribosomal RNA
Source: RNAcentral